GACAGAGGGUGCGAGCGUUAACCGGAAUUACUGGGCGUAAAGCGCGCGCAGGCGGCUACUUAAGUCGGGUGUGAAAGCCCCCGGCUCAACCUGGGAACUGCAUGAGAAACUGGAUAGCUAGAGUAUGGUAGAGGAAAGUGGAAUUGCCGGUGUAGCGGUGAAAUGCGUAGAUAUCGGGAGGAACACCAGGGGGGAAGGCGGCGUUCUGGACGAAGACUGACGCUGAGGUGCGAAAGCGUGGGGAGCAAACCGG
Molecule: ribosomal RNA, 253 nt
Filed under: uncultured bacterium
Lineage: Bacteria
Description: partial 16S ribosomal RNA
Rfam family: Bacterial small subunit ribosomal RNA
Source: RNAcentral